This 549-nucleotide ribosomal RNA is filed under the name uncultured bacterium. Its description in RNAcentral is "bacterial SSU rRNA". It matches the Rfam family "Bacterial small subunit ribosomal RNA", at positions 355 to 896 of the family's 1533-position model. The record is from RNAcentral.
UGGGGAAUAUUGGACAAUGGGGGGAACCCUGAUCCAGCCAUGCCGCGUGUGUGAAGAAGGCCUUAUGGUUGUAAAGCACUUUAAGCAGUGAAGAAUACAUCAUGGCUAAUAUCCGUGAUGAAUGACAUUAGCUGCAGAAUAAGCACCGGCUAACUCUGUGCCAGCAGCCGCGGUAAUACAGAGGGUGCGAGCGUUAAUCGGAAUUACUGGGCGUAAAGCGAGCGUAGGUGGUUUAUUAAGUCAGAUGUGAAAUCCCUGGGCUUAACCUAGGAACUGCAUCUGAUACUGACAAACUAGAGUAGGUGAGAGGAAAGUAGAAUUCCAGGUGUAGCGGUGAAAUGCGUAGAGAUCUGGAGGAAUACCGAUGGCGAAGGCAGCUUUCUGGCAUCAUACUGACACUGAGGUUCGAAAGCGUGGGUAGCAAACAGGAUUAGAUACCCUGGUAGUCCACGCCGUAAACGAUGUCUACCAGUCGUUGGGUCCUUUAAAGACUUAGUGACGCAGUUAACGCGAUAAGUAGACCGCCUGGGGAGUACGGCCGCAAGGUUA